This is a long non-coding RNA of Papaver somniferum (opium poppy), 995 nucleotides long. RefSeq lists it as uncharacterized. The transcript has 5 exons. NCBI's taxonomy places the organism in Eukaryota, Viridiplantae, Streptophyta, Magnoliopsida, Ranunculales, Papaveraceae. The record is from RefSeq and is a predicted model, not a curated record.
CUGCCCAAAGAACAGACGAAAUGGCAUCUCAAAUCAAUAUCAAACCACAGCAGGUACCAUCCUCAGCUACCCAGGACAAGUUGAAGAGUUUACGAUCCCUUGACAAGAAAAAUCAAGCGUCGUUGCUGUUCAAGUUAUUAGGGAAUGAGAAGAAUUGGAUUUUAUGUCCAACAACCUUACCAGUGUCGCCAUGGUUAUUGUUGACUAGCAGGGAGAUGAGUUACAUGCUAUUAUACCCAAAAAUAUUAUCUGGAAAUUUGAUAAGCGGAUUCGAGAGGGUGGUUUGUACACUAUUGAGAAAUUGCACUUGCCUGCUGCUAAACCCAAAUUCAGGCCAACAAACAGUGAGAAGAGGGGUUAUUUUCGGUGGAACACCCCACUCUCCGCGCUGGAUGCUACUAUGUUUGAAGCACUCGAAUCUGAUCUUCAGAACAUACAUCUUUAGUUGUUUAAUGCAGAUCACUACUGUCAAAGCUGUCGAAUCGCUGACAAGACUUUGAAGCAUGUUUGGAGUGCAAAAAUAUGAGAACUUGGUUUCAGAGGUACAUGCAUGGAUGGAUGCCGGCACUGUCCAGUGGCUCCAGUUAUCGCCGACGAACUACUGAAUGUACAAAUUUGGAGUAGGUGUGCGGACUCCUGUUAGGAGGAAGUUAGAAGGGCAACCAUAUCAAAUAUCUCUCUUACUAUCGAAUAUCAAGGAGCCGCAACUACGUCGAAUUCUGACAAAAUGGUAAGAGAUCUUUAAACUUAUCAGUAAGCUGGGCAACUUAUACACUAUCAUAUGAAAUAUCCUCUUUUUAUGUUCGCAUACCAUUUUUCAUGACGAUAUGCUAAUCUACAGGCAUGUCAGGCACAAGACAUGUCAUCUUCUUACAGGGGGUUAGUCCUCGAGUGAUUUCGGGGGAGUUGAGUGUAUUUUAAAUCUCAGGGAUUUUGAGAGAGUUUGAGAGAGUGUAGGGAGUUUAAGAGAGUUUUGUGUUUUUGAGUUCAGGGAG